This is a long non-coding RNA of Hippocampus zosterae (dwarf seahorse), 3573 nucleotides long. RefSeq lists it as uncharacterized. NCBI's taxonomy places the organism in Eukaryota, Metazoa, Chordata, Actinopteri, Syngnathiformes, Syngnathidae. The transcript is spliced from 2 exons. The record is from RefSeq and is a predicted model, not a curated record.
UGAAUAAAUUCCAUGUCACAAUUUGAUGUUAUUGUACACUAUCCAUCGAUUUAGGCAAAGGUAUUUCUAAACUUUUAUUUGUACAUUAAAUCCAGUGUAGUAAUUAAAUUCAAAAUCAAAAGCAGAGUAAUGAGUGAACAAAAAAUAAUCUUUCAUCAUCAAUUUGCAUGAGUGGUUUUCUUGCUGUUGCUUUUUAAUUAGAGACAUUUAUUUGUGGUAAUUUCUGGUUUUAUCUCUUACACUCCCCCCCCCCCCCCCCCACCCCCUUUCUUUUCUCUCUUGUGUGUGUGUGUGUGUGUACUGCCAGGACAAUUUGAUAGUGCUGGCAGACUGGUGGUGCUAUUCCAAGUGGGAUGUUGUCCUCUGAACAACCUCUGUAGUGACUCAGCACUUAAUCUGGAAGCUCUUCGGAUUUCACAAACUCUCUCUUGUUGACAGAAACGUCUACGGGGGGAAAAAACUAACAAAACCAAAACAAUGCCAAGCUUCGGGGAAGAGGUGAGCCAUGAUUGGUUGUUACCUGAGCCCUGAACAGCUGUGAUGUCAUUUUCAGUCGACAGCGUGUGGCAAAGUGGCAUGGCAAAAAAAAAAGGGUGGAUUUUGCUCCAUAACUCCCAUUCCGCAAACAAAAUCUUUUUCAGAAUGCCGUCUUCAGACUUUUGCAGGCGCAUAGAACAUAUUAUGAUACAGAGAAUUUGGGAGUUGACUUCCCAUUUUCAAUAGUUAUGCUUGCAGUAUCGCUUUUGCUCAUUUGCCAGAGUGUCUGCCAGCAUGCAGUCAUUACCUCGGAAACACAGUCUGCAUUUCCUGCACGGUGUAAACAACAUUCCACGUCUACUAUUAUCUCUUUGGGGGGGAUGCGAUGGGCUCUCUUCCUGCAGUAUCUCAAAGAGCCGGGCUAUGACAAGAUCAGUUCGGUGUGGGGCGGCAAAUCCAUCACUGGGAAAAUGAGGCUUGUCGUCUUUGAAGCUAAUCCGCAAAGACAAUUCUGUGUUCGUUUAAAGCAAAAAUCGGCAAAUGGAAAAUGAAUUACGUGAAAUCCAGACUUUGAAAUGUGGACGUUAUAGCUGUGAAAGCGUUGUCAACGACAUACGCUGAAAACAAGGUUCGGCUGUGAAUGAUGAGACCCCCCACCCCCCCCCCCCAAAAAAAAUUUUCCUUCGUGCUUUGUUUAGAAACUGUUGUUUUUGCUGAAACCAACCCGCGUCCUCGAGUGUUGAAAAGAACAUCAGGGUACUCUUUCUUUUGCUAGGUCCGGUGCUUAUUGGCAACAUGGCAACAAUUGAGUUAAUGUGCAAAAGCAACGUUUUUCAGUCGUACAUACGCAUGUCAUGUCAUGUGCCACUUUAAAAUUCUUGAACGAGAAUCAGAGCAACACAGAAUUUCCUAAGCAGCAGCAGCAGCAGCGGGGAAGCGCACUUUGCCUUUGGGCUAAAACAAUAAAAACAACUCUGCCUCUUUUUACAAUUUUGGCAUUGACGAAGAUUCAGAUUGAGGUCACUCGGAGUUUGAGCCGUUACACAAAGACAGAGGCUUUUGGCGAGCGUGCAUUUUGCUAGUUGGCUAACGCUCGGAGUGAGUCGAAAGGGCUGCAAGGACAACAGCCAAACAAAACUGGAACACGCUCAGGUUAAGAACGGUGAUAAAUUUAAUGCCGGGAUGACCUUGGGAUCGCCUUUAAAGAACACAAACAUGAGGAUUUGGUGAUUGCAGCAAUGUUUUUGCUUGUUUAUAUUUUUUUCAUGAGUAUUUCACAGUUUAUUAAGGAUGGUCUACAUCUGUUCAUUGGUACAUGAACUUUUCUGUUUCUUCCCAUCCACUGGUUUCCUCCUUACUAAAAAUGUCAAAACUUCAAGUCAACCAAAUACAUCGCUGCAAACCUUGUUCUCGUCCCCGAUCGGUCACAAGGCUGUCGACCAGGAAUGUCGGACACAUGGACUGACAAGCAAAACGGUGCUACUGAAGGCAACAUGGGAUCGACGGCUUAAUCAAAGAAGACAUGCUGCUAACAGAUGACAGCCUCAGUGCAAGUAUUGGGCAAGUCAACUGUCGCAUCUAUUUACAUGCUACAUGUAGUUAGCAUCAGGCUAUUUCAGGACAAAUUGAAUGUUUGGAAACACAGUCAAGUUUAAAUUACCCAACGAAUCGCACCACAAGUGUAAAGACCGACUCAAGCGUGUAAGCUCUUAAUUGUUUUUUUGUUUUUUUUUGUCUCUUCUUCGCUUAUUUGUGUGCCACAAGCUAGUGCCAUCUUUGAAUAAAAAUUGGCCCUAGGGAAGUACAGUACUGUUUGUUGUCAAGAUCCCUCUCAGUUGAGAGAUGAAUAUUUUGUUUUUCAGGGUGGAGCUAAGUUGAACCUGAGUUUUUAUCCAGUCUCUUUUUGAGGUCUCCCUUCUCCAACACACCUGAUUCAAAUAGAUCAGCUCAUCAGCAAGCUUUGUAGAUAGCCUGAUAAUGAUCAUGGUCAUUUAAAUCAGGUGUGUUGGAGGAGAGAGAUAGCUAAAAAUGGCUGGAUAGGGCCUCUUGAGGACCAGCCGUGGGCUUUUCUUGGUUCCCUGGGCGCGAUCCCCGUCCCACUGUAAUUUUGUUGGUGCUUGAUGGCGUCAUGAUAGCCAUGGUUGGCCGCUCCUGCCAACCAGAAAGGAGGCUUGAAUGAGCAGCAGCACUAGCAUGAGACAGGCCCCCCACCUCAGUCAAGUUCAUAGGGUUAAAAGAAGGUGAAAACUGUGCCCUAACUCUUGAUCCUCUGUGUAUUUAGGCAAAAGAUUAUCGAGAGUCAUAAUAUUAAGACAUUAGGGUGAUUUAGUUUUAACUGCAAAACAAAGUGUACAAUACUGCAUGUCUCCUUUUUUAAGGGUUGUGCUUGAUUUCAAGUUUUUGGACAAGAAGCUGAUUGUCCCCCCACCCCCACCCUUACUCUGCUCUAUGACUGCAUAUCAGCUAAUCACAUGGAGAAACAGCCAUGAUGAAAAGCAGCGGAGGCCUGACAGCUCCAGAACGAAUUUCCCCAAGGACCCUCCCUCUUAAAAUAACUUACCAUGUCGGCAUCUUUGUGGGUAUGAAAGCACUGUCUCGCCCCACUGCUUGACAUGGAGAGAUGCAACUAAUCAGCUGCAUGCAUAUGAUUAUGACAACCCCGCAAAGAAUGUUCAGAGAGGGGUAACGGGGGUCCGCCCUGGGUGAUGUCACUCUUUCGGUAUGUGGAAGAAACGAUGGCCACAACAGAGACAAGGUACAUGAGUGUCUGCGUUGUUCUUGGACCGCUCCGUCGCCCCCAAGUUCUUAACCACUGAAGGCCAUCGCCCACACGUCGAGAAUGCAGGAGUUUGCUUAAAGGCACUUCAGUUAAACUAAAGGUCUUGGUCCAUGGAAGAUCUUGGGCUCUUGGUCAAAAAGAAAAGACAUUUAUCACAUAGUCCCGGGCCCUUGACUUUCUAUAAUUCUUUUAUGUGGUUUGUUUCUGUUUUUAACAAGGUUUCCAAAGAUCUCAAACUUUUGAAAAUAGAAUAAAAGUUAAGAAAGUGUGAAACUUGGAUUCAACAGAAAAGGUCCCACCUAAACUCUCGACUCCCA